CGCCAGGAACCACGCGGACAGCCGCCGCCCAAUCCCGCCAGGUCCGGAAGGAAGCAACGGUAAGCGGAAGGCUGUUGCGCCGUGGUCUUUCUGGCUGCG
RNAcentral lists this signal recognition particle RNA (99 nucleotides) under Treponema sp. Its description in RNAcentral is "signal recognition particle sRNA small type". It matches the Rfam family "Bacterial small signal recognition particle RNA". From Rfam's summary of the family: The signal recognition particle (SRP) is a universally conserved ribonucleoprotein involved in the co-translational targeting of proteins to membranes. Archaeal SRP consists of a 7S RNA and homologues of the eukaryotic SRP19 and SRP54 proteins. Lineage: Bacteria; Pseudomonadati; Spirochaetota; Spirochaetia; Treponematales; Treponemataceae. The record is from RNAcentral.